CUAAAACAACCCACAUGUCAAGUAUCUGUAUUUGAAUAUGGUUAAAGGAACGCUUUAAGCACCAUAACCAUGUCCCUGCACCCCAUAUUAUAAGUAGUCAACCCAUUUUGACACAAUUAGACUUCUCAUCUGACGUCUGCCAGGCAGCCUUCCCCCUGCAUUGCUAAAAUGGCUUAAAACCGUUUUGACUAUUUACAAGGGGUGUGAGAGAGUAGGGUGCCAGAGCACUCUUGACACCAUAACUACUACAGUAAACAGUCGUAAUUAUGGUGUUUGGAGUGUUCCUUUAAUGGGGCAACUGCCUUGUGCAUAACGCCUUUAAAUAGUUUGACAUUGGUGUGGUACAAAACCCUUAAUGAGGAGGUGAAACUAUAAAUCUAAAGUGGACUUAUUAACCCUCUGAAUACUCUUACCAGGAGCUGAAUUCACGGGGUUGUAUGGCUGUGAGUCUUGCGGAGGAUCCAAUAAAAAUCUCAAGUUACCACCUCCCUUAAAACAUGGGGUAUGUGCGACACGUGGAGAUGGCGUACUAAAUAACUGUACCAUACACACUGACAAUGGAAUUGUAAGUCAAAAUGGAGCGAGAGAUGUGACAAGCACAGUCAGGCCUCCUAUGGGGCUGUGCUAAGUAUAAGUAUAAGAUAAGAUAAACAUGCGAGACAAACAGUGAAAGCUGAUGCCAAGACAAUUUCCUUAUGUGCACGACACGUAUACUAUAUCUGUACCCAUUGCCGACUAUAUACGAGUCUAAAUUUGUAAUCUUGUAUUUUGUAUUGAUGAAAUCAAUUUCCCCCUCCCUUUCUCCCUGUUUCUUUCUGUACCCCCUACAUUGUGCAAAACAAUAAAAAAUGGUCAAAUUGGAAAAAAUCUCAAGUUACAGAGAACCAGAAUAGGAAAGGGCAGACAGGUAAAAGUGUAUAACAAAGGUUAAAGUCCGCCGAGGGACAGACAAAUAAAACAAGUAAU
This is a non-coding RNA of Pelobates cultripes (western spadefoot toad), 966 nucleotides long. NCBI's taxonomy places the organism in Eukaryota, Metazoa, Chordata, Amphibia, Anura, Pelobatidae. The record is from the annotation of a GenBank genome assembly.